AGAGUUUGAUCCUGGCUCAGGACGAACGCUGGCGGCGUGCUUCAGACAUGCAAGUCGAGCGGGCGGAGGCCGAACCGCAAGGGGAGGCCGAAGCUAGCGGCGAACGGGUGAGUAACACGUGGGUAAUCUACCCGGAAGACUGGGAUAACGGCCCGAAAGGGCCGCUAAUACCGGAUAAUGUCGCGGUCUCGCAUGAGGCCGCGAAGAAAGGCGAAAGCCACUUUCGGAUGAGCUCGCGACCCAUCAGCUAGUUGGUGAGGUAAUGGCCCACCAAGGCGACGACGGGUAACCGGUCUGAGAGGAUGAUCGGUCACACUGGGACUGAGAUACGGCCCAGACUCCUACGGGAGGCAGCAGUCGGGAAUAUUGGGCAAUGGGCGAAAGCCUGACCCAGCGACGCCGCGUGAGGGACGAAGGCCUUCGGGUCGUAAACCUCUGUCAUCGGGGACGAAGGAAGUGACGGUACCCGAGGAGGAAGCCCCUGCUAACUACGUGCCAGCAGCCGCGGUAAUACGUAGGGGGCGAGCGUUGUCCGGAGUUAUUGGGCGUAAAGGGCGUGUAGGCGGCCUGUUAAGUCAGGUGUGAAAUUUCAGGGCUUAACCCUGAAACUGCGCUUGAAACUGGCAGGCUUGAGGACAGGAGAGGGAAGUGGAAUUCCCGGUGUAGCGGUGGAAUGCGUAGAUAUCGGGAGGAACACCAGUGGCGAAGGCGGCUUCCUGGACUGUACCUGACGCUGAGGCGCGAAAGCUAGGGGAGCAAACAGGAUUAGAUACCCUGGUAGUCCUAGCCGUAAACGAUGAGUGCUAGGUGUGGGGGGUUUAAAUCCCUCCGUGCCGGAGUUAACGCAAUAAGCACUCCGCCUGGGGAGUACGGCCGCAAGGCUAAAACUCAAAGGAAUUGACGG
RNAcentral lists this ribosomal RNA (904 nucleotides) under uncultured bacterium. RNAcentral describes it as "bacterial SSU rRNA". It matches the Rfam family "Bacterial small subunit ribosomal RNA", at positions 8 to 916 of the family's 1533-position model. The record is from RNAcentral.